AUUGAAAAUACAUUUUAUUUUAUUUAUUUAUUUGUCCUUUUUUUUUAGCAAAACCAUUUAACCUUAUCUUGUACUCUAGCAAGGUUGCAUAGAGACAGGAAUUUGAUUUUAUUCUUCACUGAGCAGAGCUUCUUUAAUUUAGGUUGCCAUCGAUGACCAUAGCUAAUUGAAAUAGUUACUUUUGUCCAGGGCAGUGGAUUUUUCCAUGCCGUGCUUGGAUAGGUCCCUUUUGUCCCAGGCAGGGAUCCAUUCUUUUUUGACCAGCUGCUUGGGAUAGUUUAGGGCAAGGGUGUGUGUGCAGUAGUUUUCCAUUAGGUUUUGGCAGACACCAUUUUAACUUCGGUGAGCACACAGCUUAUGUGCAGUUUUGAAGCCAGUAGAGAAAUUACAAUUUUUCCUUACCAUUCUGAAGGCAUAUCUCUAGACUUAUUUUCUUUUUGAGCAGCCUUAUUUUCCAGUUUGUAAGCUGCUUAUCUUUAUUACCUGCAUGAGGUCAGAAAGCAGUAUUUAAAUCAUUUUUGAGCCUGUUUUGCUGAAAGUCAUCGAUGGUGCCAAGGUGGGACGUAAUUCCCUGACGACUUCUAGUCAUUGAAGCCGAGCAUUUCCGAAAGUCGCGAAGGACAACGAGAUUCCCCGAGAUUCACCGAGAGUAAACGAACAAGAGAUACCAUUGAUUUUGGUGACGUAUACACGUGAUUGUUUGUCGAACUGAAGCAGGAAUGAUUGAUAGAACUAUGAACACUAAUGAGAAUGAUAAUCCGAUGGACAUUAAUUGUUCAGUUAUUUAGAAACUUGAUUUUAUAGGGGAACUUUCAACAUAUGUUGCUUUUUAUUUUAUCUCAGUCCUUGACUGAUGUUGAAUAUAAAUACUUGUGUUCGUGGAUGGAUCAAUACAGGAUCCUCACAGUUGAUGUUAGUGUUGAGAUGAGACAAACGAUGCUUAAGAGGAAAAGAAGACAGUU
Long non-coding RNA from Lytechinus variegatus (green sea urchin), 962 nucleotides. RefSeq lists it as uncharacterized. NCBI's taxonomy places the organism in Eukaryota, Metazoa, Echinodermata, Echinoidea, Temnopleuroida, Toxopneustidae. The record is from RefSeq and is a predicted model, not a curated record. The transcript has 2 exons.